This 338-nucleotide ribosomal RNA is filed under the name uncultured Paenibacillus sp. Its description in RNAcentral is "bacterial SSU rRNA". It matches the Rfam family "Bacterial small subunit ribosomal RNA", at positions 1045 to 1382 of the family's 1533-position model. The record is from RNAcentral. Lineage: Bacteria; Bacillati; Bacillota; Bacilli; Caryophanales; Paenibacillaceae.
AUGGUUGUCGUCAGCUCGUGUCGUGAGAUGUUGGGUUAAGUCCCGCAACGAGCGCAACCCCUGUGGUUAGUUGCCAGCAAGUAGCGUUGGGCACUCUAGCCAGACUGCCGGUGAUAAAUCGGAGGAAGGUGGGGACGACGUCAAAUCAUCAUGCCCUUUAUGUCCUGGGCUACACACGUACUACAAUGGCCGUUACAACGGGAAGCGAAGGAGCAAUCCGGAGCAAAUCCCUUAAAGGCGGUCCCAGUUCAGAUUGUGGGCUGAAACUCGCCCACAUGAAGGCGGAAUUGCUAGUAAUUGCAGAUCAGCAUGCUGCAGUGAAUACGUUCCCGGGCCUU